Molecule: long non-coding RNA, 1828 nt
Organism: Oncorhynchus nerka (sockeye salmon)
Lineage: Eukaryota; Metazoa; Chordata; Actinopteri; Salmoniformes; Salmonidae
Exons: 2
Source: RefSeq, a predicted model, not a curated record
GUGACUCGGUCUAUAAAAAAAGUAAUCCUUGGUGUACACAUCACAGACAGGUCCAACUGCACAGACAGUGAUGUGAAGGUGCAACAGCGCCUCUACAACCUCAGGAGGCUGAUCCAGAGCGACUUAAAGUAAUAUCAUCUCUCAACAAGACUGGACCAGACCAGUCCAGACCAUACCGUCCUACCUCCAGAACUGCUCUUCAGAGAACAGAAGGGUCUUGCCGGUGUCUGGGAUGUACACAGCAGCAUCCACCCUCCGCACGGUCUUGGGGAGUCCCAGUUUAUGGAUGUAUUUGGGGUAGCCCUCCACUAGGCUGUAGCCGUUCAGGGCCCACAUUCUAAUACCUGGAAAAAUAUUAAAAUUUGUCAACGAAAUGAACCUAUGACUCUUGCACCGACAUCAAUUUGAUUAGAUAUCUACUGUAUAUGUGAUGGAAAUGAGCAAAGUAGAACUGUAAUUGCAUAUUCAAAAUGACAGAGGACUAUGCGAACAGUGUUGCCAGCAUGUAAUUCACCACUGAAUAUGAAGACCAUGUCUUUCUCAGGGUACUCAUAGGCAGCAUCCACUUUGUUGGGGAGGGAGGGCCAGGUGGAUUUGAUCAGGGUUUGCUCAGGCUCUGCAAACUGAGGAUGGAGACGCCAGUAGAACCUGUCAUCAAAUAGAAAACAUCAACACAUACAUUUUGUCAAUUUUAACCUUAUAGUUUGUGCAGAAAAGUUCUCAUGAAUGGACACACUCCCUACCUGUCUUUGAAGAUGAUUGUUUCUCCUCUGAGCUCAGUGACAGCAUCAAAACUCAACAUGGGGUCACAUUUGUUUGGGGCAUCUGGCUUGGGCUUCACUUUGCUGUCAUUGGGGUUCGGGCCUAAAGGAUUGAACCGCAUAAUGAGGGUUUCAAAAUAUGACUCCAGUGGGUGGAAUUACAGUACCAGUCAAAAGAUGGACACACAUACUCAUUCUACAUUGUAGAAUAAUAGUGAAGACAUCAAAACUAUGAAACAACAUGUAUGGAAUCAUGUAGUAACCAAAAAAGUGUUAAACAAACCCAAAUAUAUUUUAUACUUGAGAUUCUUCAAAGUAACCACCCUUUGCCUUGAUGACAACGUUGCAAACUUUUGGUAUUCUCUCAACCAGCUUCACCUGGAAUAUUAUUCCAACAGUCUUGAAGGAGUUCCCACAUGCUGAGCACUUGUUGGCUGCUUUUCCUUUGCUCUGCGGUCCAACUCAUCCCAAACCAUCUCAAUUGGGUUGAGGUCAGGUGAUUGUGGAGACCAGGUCAUCUGAUGCAGCACUCCAUCAUGCUCCUUCUUGGUCAAAUAGCCCUUGCACAGCCUGUAGGUGAAAUGGGUCAUUGUCCUGUUGAAAAAUAAAUGAUAGUCCCACAAAGCACAAACCAGAUGGGAUGGCGUACCGCUGCAGAAUGCUGUUGUAGCCAUACUGGUUAAGUGUGCCUUGAAUUGUAAAAAAAUUCACUGACAAUGUCACCAGCAAAGCACCACCACACCAUCACACUCCUCCAUGCUUCACAGUGGGAACCACACAUGCGGAAGUCAUCCGUUCACCUACUCUGCGUCUCACAAAGACAAGGCGAUUGGAACCAAAAAUCUCAAAUUUGCCAAGUGUGUGCAAAGCUGUCAUCAAGGCAACGGGUGGCUACUUCGAAGAAUCUCAUUGUUCGUGUUUCUGGGCCAAAGCAAGUCUCUUCUUCAUGUUGGUAUCCAUUAGUAGUGGUUUCUUUGCAACAAUUCGACCAUGAAGGCCUGAUUCACACAGUCUCCUCUGAACAGUUGAUGUUGAGAUGUGUCUGUUAUUAAACUCUGUGAAGCAUU